GUGCCUUAGUAGCGGCGAGUGAAGCGGCAAAAGCUCAAAUUUGAAAUCUGGCUCUUUCAGAGUCCGAGUUGUAAUUUGAAGAAGGUAUCUUUGGGUCUGGCUCUUGUCUAUGUUUCUUGGAACAGAACGUCACAGAGGGUGAGAAUCCCGUGCGAUGAGAUGAUCCAGGCCUAUGUAAAGUUCCUUCGAAGAGUCGAGUUGUUUGGGAAUGCAGCUCUAAGUGGGUGGUAAAUUCCAUCUAAAGCUAAAUAUUGGCGAGAGACCGAUAGCGAACAAGUACAGUGAUGGAAAGAUGAAAAGAACUUUGAAAAGAGAGUGAAAAAGUACGUGAAAUUGUUGAAAGGGAAGGGCUUGAGAUCAGACUUGGUAUUUUGUAUGUUACUUCUUCGGGGGUGGCCUCUACAGUUUAUCGGGCCAGCAUCAGUUUGGGCGGUAGGAGAAUUGCGUUGGAAUGUGGCACGGCUUCGGUUGUGUGUUAUAGCCUUCGUCGAUACUGCCAGCCUAGACUGAGGACUGCGGUUUAUACCUAGGAUGUUGGCAUAAUGAUCUUAAGUCGCCCGUCUUGAAACACGGGACCA
RNAcentral lists this ribosomal RNA (578 nucleotides) under Candida tropicalis. RNAcentral's name for it is "partial large subunit ribosomal RNA". It matches the Rfam family "Eukaryotic large subunit ribosomal RNA", at positions 73 to 664 of the family's 3401-position model. Lineage: Eukaryota; Fungi; Ascomycota; Pichiomycetes; Serinales; Debaryomycetaceae. The record is from RNAcentral.